Long non-coding RNA from Carassius gibelio (silver crucian carp), 736 nucleotides. RefSeq lists it as uncharacterized. NCBI's taxonomy places the organism in Eukaryota, Metazoa, Chordata, Actinopteri, Cypriniformes, Cyprinidae. The transcript has 4 exons. The record is from RefSeq and is a predicted model, not a curated record.
AUCCACCAACCCGUUCUCAUCAGUCUGCGUAUAAAUAACACGACUUUACACUUUCUAUUUGCGUGUAAUGCAUACGCCAAAUGCCAUUUUUGCGUGCAUAUGAUACGCCAAUCCUUCCCAUUAAUUUCGGUGGAGAGCAGAUGCGUCCAAAUAACACGCAUCAUCUUCAGCGGCAGUGACGUCACCAGCGAGGCUCGUUCAGUUCACCUGAUGCGCGUACACCUUCAAACAGGUAAGCAAGGUUACGUCGGAUUACAUACUCCACAACAACCUGUAAUCCAUCAGAUCUUUAAAGAAGCCAUCUCUUGUAAAAUCUCUCUCUCGCUCUGCUAGAAUUAACAGGGAACUUCAACUCCACGCUCCCAAUGCUGAUAUUGAAGAAGCUGUCAAGGGGGCUGAACAAGUCCUUCAAAGGAUCAACCCUUCACAGGAAGGCCUGUCAUGAGAUUUGAAUUUGACCAUCUUGUGCAUUUAUGAAGAAGACCAAAAGCUGCAAAGGCAAACACUUCCAAUGGAUUUCUCACAGAUUACUUAAUCAUUCUUCAUCAGCUCUUCACAAUAUCAGCCCAUUCAAAAGCUUCCAGAUCUUCCUCUCUUGUGUGACACAUCUGCUCUCAGUCCUUUACUGCCAACCUCCAGUCUUAGCAUUUCUGCUUGUAUUCAUUUUUCCUCUACAUUCAUCACUCCAAUCUCUACUAUAAGCACUCCUGUAUAUAUAUAUAUAUAUAUAUAUAUA